GAUGAACGCUGGCGGCGUGCCUAAUACAUGCAAGUCGAGCGAACAGACGAGGAUCUUGCUCCUCUGACGUUAGCGGCGGACGGGUGAGUAACACGUGUAUAACCUACCUAUAGGACUGGGAUAACUUCGGGAAACCGGAGCUAAUACCGGAUAAUAUAUUGAACCGCAUGGUUCAAUAGUGAAAGACGGUUUUGCUGUCACUUAUAGAUGGAUCCUCGCCGCAUUAGCUAGUUGGUAAGGUAACGGCUUACCAAGGCAACGAUGCGUAGCCGACCUGAGAGGGUGAUCGGCCACACUGGAACUGAGACACGGUCCAGACUCCUACGGGAGGCAGCAGUAGGGAAUCUUCCGCAAUGGGCGAAAGCCUGACGGAGCAACGCCGCGUGAAUGAUGAAGGUCUUCGGAUCGUAAAACUCUGUUAUUAGGGAAGAACAAAUGUGUAAGUAACUAUGCACGUCUUGACGGUACCUAAUCAGAAAGCAACGGCUAACUACGUG
This 497-nucleotide ribosomal RNA is filed under the name uncultured bacterium. RNAcentral's name for it is "partial 16S ribosomal RNA". It matches the Rfam family "Bacterial small subunit ribosomal RNA", at positions 28 to 507 of the family's 1533-position model. The record is from RNAcentral.